GAUGAACGCUGGCGGCGUGCUUAACACAUGCAAGUCGAACGGAAAGGCUCCUGCUUGCAGGGGUACUCGAGUGGCGAACGGGUGAGUAACACGUGGGUGAUCUGCCCUUCACUUCGGGAUAAGCCUGGGAAACUGGGGCUAAUACCGGAUAGGACCACAUUUUGGAUGGUGUGGUGGAAAGUUUUUCGGUGUGGGAUGAGCUCGCGGCCUAUCAGCUUGUUGGUGGGGUAAUGGCCUACCAAGGCGUCGACGGGUAGCCGGCCUGAGAGGGUGUACGGCCACAUUGGGACUGAGAUACGGCCCAGACUCCUACGGGAGGCAGCAGUGGGGAAUAUUGCACAAUGGGCGCAAGCCUGAUGCAGCGACGCCGCGUGGGGGAUGACGGCCUUCGGGUUGUAAACUCCUUUCGCUAGGGACGAAGCGCAAGUGACGGUACCUGGAGAAGAAGCACCGGCUAACUACGUG
Molecule: ribosomal RNA, 465 nt
Filed under: uncultured bacterium
Lineage: Bacteria
Description: partial 16S ribosomal RNA
Rfam family: Bacterial small subunit ribosomal RNA
Source: RNAcentral